UACUGUCUCCUUUUUCUAAUCAGUGAAACUAAUCUUCCCGUGAAGAAGCGGGAAUACCCCUAUAAGACGAGAAGACCCCAUGGAGCUUCAAACCCAACUACACCCCUAACUUCUAUAACCCCCACCCCACGGGACCCUGUAUAGUUGGUUUUAGGUUGGGGCAACCACGGAGCACAACAAAGCCUCCACAAUGAAUGGGACCACCCCCCUUAUCUAAGAGCCACACCCCUAGGAAUUAAAACAUUAAUAUAAAAUGAUCCAUUAUUUGAUCAAUGAACCAAGUUACCCUGGGGAUAACAGCGCAAUCCAUUUCAAGAGCCCCUAUCGACAAAUGGG
This 336-nucleotide ribosomal RNA is filed under the name Mantidactylus paidroa. RNAcentral describes it as "partial 16S ribosomal RNA". It matches the Rfam family "Bacterial large subunit ribosomal RNA", at positions 2014 to 2516 of the family's 2925-position model. The record is from RNAcentral. Lineage: Eukaryota; Metazoa; Chordata; Amphibia; Anura; Mantellidae.